UUGAUGCUCUUCAAUAUGAUCACCUAGGUAUCUGCAAUAAAGCCGUUACAGUGGCAGAGAAAUAACAGCUUUAGUUUGCAUUACGACCUGUGCACCAGAAUGAUGAAACCUGUCAUGACCUCUGCAGUGCAAAAGGCCCAGCGACUGAAGAGGAAACCAACUAUGUGCUUUGAUAUAUCUGUCAUGCUUCAGCAGACACUAACAAGGAUGAAUCUGAGACACUACAGACCCUGCAUAAUAGGGAUAGUCCUCCUGAGGUUAAGUGCCCGGUUUCAAGGAUAAAAUGGUGAUGGAUCAACUUAAUCUCAGCCUCAGACGGCACGUCCACUGACCGCCCACAGUCUGUGGGCUAAACUGGCUGUCUGAUGCAUGUUGUGCUAAAAAAAUGUCAAGAGCCAGCUGAAAUCGUUUGUUCCAAUCUGAUUAACUGGCACUAUGCAACAUCAGGGA
Long non-coding RNA from Rhinichthys klamathensis goyatoka, 450 nucleotides. RefSeq lists it as uncharacterized. The record is from RefSeq and is a predicted model, not a curated record. NCBI's taxonomy places the organism in Eukaryota, Metazoa, Chordata, Actinopteri, Cypriniformes, Leuciscidae. The transcript is spliced from 3 exons.